UCUAGAUUCGUUUAUAGUGGACCCGGAAGAUUACGAUGUUGGGAAAUGUUGCAUUGAGGAUAUAAGUAAUCCUCCGUCCUAUCUUCAUAACCUACCCGAUGGUCGAAAGGCAAUUUCCAUUCAAAGCUAAUAUGUAAUGAGAAACAUUGAAACGCAGGUGAUAUAGAAGGGAGGAUCGAGCGGCGACUGAACCAUCUCCGCGAAAAAUUUGGGGAAUCAUCGCUACAACCUCAAAUUGUCGCAGUGGGCACGAGCAACUCAACAAAAGCAACGAUGGUUAUUUUUGGCGGCGCGGAGUAUAUCGCAGAUAAUAUUGUGCAUGCUGUAUGCAUUUGUAUGCAUAUCACUUAUGUGCUAAAUUUGCGAUAUACUCCGGACUGCAAACCGCUGUGGCUCUUUGUUCAGUCAUACCUGUUCAAAAUCCCAGCGUCCAUUAUUGAGCUCCCGAAGAGCACACGUGAUUUGCUAAAAGGUAUAGAUAAUUAAACUGGAAGAUCGUUUUUUUUUCUUAAAAUAAUCUUUUUUCAAGUGAAAAGAAUAGAAUAAAUGAAUUAAACUCAAAACCCCAAAAUAUGUUUUAAAUAAAUGUUGUACUCACAAAUAGCUUAAGGUGAAGGUGCAGUGCGUUUACUUUCAAAACUAUGCAUUUUGCCUCGCGUUUUCUCGAGCACAAAUCUGAAAAUCUGCCUCAAUCUGAAAAUGUACCACAAUGUUUACUGCGAGUGAGCGAGCAACGAGUUAUAUUUUCAGCUUCAUAGACCUGCUGGAUGAUCAGAUUUAUGAUCAUGGGAAUUAGAGCAGAAUGAGAGGCGGCCAUUGUGAUAGCCAUUUUUAGAUUUCACAAACCAUGUCCUUAAUCAGACCGUCACACAGUAGUUUAGUCUGCAAAAAAUGACAGACAAAACCUCUAGCUCAGUGCUUCCCAAACUGUGCGCCGCGGCGCCCUGGGGCGCCUUAAAUCUUUUUCAGGGGCGCCGUGGGCCGAUUAAAAGUAAGGCCUGGCAAACCUUCUCAACUUAUGUUAUAAUUGUAUUACAUUGAUCGAAAGCAUCAGACGAAAGUUGAAUACGAAAAUCGAACAAAGAAGACAAUUAAGCUGCUCGCCACAGAAGUUGAAUGCAACUUUUUGGGAGUGAAAACAUUAAGAUAGCUUUGAGAUAUCGCUCACCAGUUCAAAAAAAAAUUAAUAUCUAUGUUCAAAGUUUUUCAAAUUCCAUGUUCCAAAUUUAUGUUGACAAACAUUGUAAAGGUAUAUACAGUAAACGUUCGGAAAACUGCAACAUGUUUACGUUUCACUUAGCGAACGAAAUUCGAUAACUGCAACGACUGACAAACUUCAACAACCC
Aedes aegypti (yellow fever mosquito) is the source of this 1346-nucleotide long non-coding RNA. RefSeq lists it as uncharacterized. The transcript has 2 exons. The record is from RefSeq and is a predicted model, not a curated record. NCBI's taxonomy places the organism in Eukaryota, Metazoa, Arthropoda, Insecta, Diptera, Culicidae.